GAUUGAACGCUGGCGGCAUGCCUUACACAUGCAAGUCGAACGGUAACGGGCCUUCGGGUGCCGACGAGUGGCGAACGGGUGAGUAAUGCAUCGGAACGUACCUUUCAGUGGGGGAUAACGUAGCGAAAGUUACGCUAAUACCGCAUAUUCUGUGAGCAGGAAAGCAGGGGAUCGCAAGACCUUGCGCUGAUUGAGCGGCCGAUGUCAGAUUAGCUAGUUGGUGAGGUAAAGGCUCACCAAGGCGACGAUCUGUAGCGGGUCUGAGAGGAUGAUCCGCCACACUGGAACUGAGACACGGUCCAGACUCCUACGGGAGGCAGCAGUGGGGAAUUUUGGACAAUGGGGGCAACCCUGAUCCAGCCAUGCCGCGUGAGUGAAGAAGGCCUUCGGGUUGUAAAGCUCUUUCGGCCGGGAAGAAAUCGCAUGGGUUAAUACCCUGUGCGGAUGACGGUACCGGCAUAAGAAGCACCGGCUAACUACGUG
This 483-nucleotide ribosomal RNA is filed under the name uncultured bacterium. RNAcentral's name for it is "bacterial SSU rRNA". It matches the Rfam family "Bacterial small subunit ribosomal RNA", at positions 27 to 507 of the family's 1533-position model. The record is from RNAcentral.